AACGCACCUUGCGCCCUUUGGUAUUCCGAAGGGCAUGCCUGUUUGAGUGUCAUUGAAUUCUCAACCUUACAACUUUUUUGUUGUCAAGGCUUGGAUGUGAGGGUUGCCGGCUUCCUUCAGUGGAUGGUCAGCUCCCUUUAAAAGCAUUAGCGGGAUCCUUUGUGGAUUUGGUGUGAUAAUUAUCUACGCCUUUGAAGCAAAAUCUGUGGGAACCUGCUCAUAACCGUCCCUUGUUGGACAAACGUCUCUUAGGAGGCGCCCUUGACAUUUGACCUCAAAUCAGGUAGGACUACCCGCUGAACUUAA
Molecule: unclassified non-coding RNA, 306 nt
Filed under: uncultured fungus
Lineage: Eukaryota; Fungi
Description: sequence contains ITS2
Rfam family: 5.8S ribosomal RNA (bases 1-52)
Source: RNAcentral